Molecule: long non-coding RNA, 1524 nt
Organism: Chinchilla lanigera (long-tailed chinchilla)
Lineage: Eukaryota; Metazoa; Chordata; Mammalia; Rodentia; Chinchillidae
Exons: 3
Source: RefSeq, a predicted model, not a curated record
AAUUUCACACCAAUGGAAACAAGAACAAAAUCCUAUGAGUUUCCAGGGAUAUGAUGUGAGAACUAUGUAUGAAGAAUUAAGAUACGAGAAUAGAUUUUAGAGUUCUCAACAGCAACUGUGGAAGCUAGAAUGCAACAGAACAAUGGAACACUUCCAAACUCAGAACAACUUUUACACUCAACCAAACGAUCAAUUAAUUGUGAUGGUAGAAGAAAGAAAGUAUUUUCUGAUACUCAUAGUGUCAAAAAUAUUUAUUCCCAAUCUUUGUUUCUCAGGGAACAACUCAAAAAUAUGCUCCUCCACAAAUAAAGGGAUAAAGCUAUAAAGAAGUCAACAUGGGGUAAAGAAGUAAAGAAACAAGAUCCCACACAGAAAAGAGGUGAAAGGAUUUCCCAGAAUGAUGAUGAUGAAGUGUGGUCUCAGGAUGACCACUGGUUAGCAGAUAAAAAGGUGAUCACUUCAGACUGGAGCAGGCCAGAAAGCUCUGGGAGAGAUUUCUGCAAGAAGACACAACUGACAGAAUACCUUGUGCAUCUAGAAGUCUUAAGACAUGAUUUAGUCACCCUACGGAUAAAGUAAGCCAAAGGAAAUCUGAGUAACAGGGCCCCUUCAUCUUUCUGCUCAAUCAUGGAACAUGUUUGCUGAGGAAGAUACUUCAUACUACAGUGAUGUAUUCCUGAUUUUCUAUUUCCCAGUGCCAGAAAAUCAAGGUGCUUCUGCAUGACCGUCUAGUGGGCUGGGGGCUACGUUCCUUCCUGAGGUUUAGAAAUUGUGGGUCUGUUUAUUGUUUGUAACAAUGACUUGAAAUACUUGUUACAACAACUGGACUGAGCAUGGUGGGCUAGGAGUGCCAACCAUUCUCCAAUAGAAGGGCCACUUGGUGAAGACCUGUCCUACCCCCAAAUUCCAAUAAUGCCGGCACUGAAAAAUGCCAUUACAAGAUGAUGGAGUCUGUUAUAUCUUCUAUGUAAUAGUUAAUAUAAAAUAAUUAUACCUAUAAGAACACAAGGCACUCAGUUAAAAUUAGUGUUAUCCAGAUUACUUUACCAACCAAAUAUUUUACCGAGUCAAGCAUGUUUUUAUGGUUCCCAAGCUAUAUUUUACAUAAAUCUUAGACAAUAAGUAUUUUAUCAUGUAACAGAAGAAAUAAUAUGACUCUCAGUAAAAGUCUUUUCUCCAAAAGCAGGCUUUGCUUUCAGCGUGUACUGUGCUGGCAGCAUUCCUAUCUCUAGACCUGUGCUCCAGGCCUGGACAGACUCUAAGAAGAACACAGCCUUACAGCUUGAAUCCUUGACAUCUCUUAUGCAGACUGAAACUCAGUCUUGAUUCUAAAAGCUGCACAGGCACCGACUACCCCAGAAGCAGUCUUGGGUUGCCUUAAAUUUCAAUUAUAAUAAAACCCUCACUAAUCCACCUAAAAUAUUUAAUAAUUUUUUAAAAUCCUCUGCUACAAUCUCCUAAUUUUGAGUUUGGUAUUUGCUUUCAUUUUCUUUCUAACUCCAGAAAAAUAAAUGAAAAGUAGCU